GCUGACACGUCCCGGCCAAUCUCCAGCAGACCCUCCCUCCCAGACCUUCCUACUUCCUGGACAGCAUCCAUGUUGAAACUCGUACACAUAUUGAAACAUGGAUGCUGUCCAGGAAGUAGGAGGGUCUGGGAGGGAGGGUCUGCUGGAGAUUGGCCGGGACGUGUCAA
Pelobates cultripes (western spadefoot toad) is the source of this 167-nucleotide non-coding RNA. NCBI's taxonomy places the organism in Eukaryota, Metazoa, Chordata, Amphibia, Anura, Pelobatidae. The record is from the annotation of a GenBank genome assembly.